RNAcentral lists this ribosomal RNA (497 nucleotides) under uncultured bacterium. RNAcentral's name for it is "partial 16S ribosomal RNA". It matches the Rfam family "Bacterial small subunit ribosomal RNA", at positions 28 to 507 of the family's 1533-position model. The record is from RNAcentral.
GAUGAACGCUGGCGGCGUGCCUAAUACAUGCAAGUCGAGCGAACAGAUGAGGAGCUUGCUCCUCUGACGUUAGCGGCGGACGGGUGAGUAACACGUGGAUAACCCACCUAUAAGACUGGGAUAACUUCGGGAAACCGGAGCUAAUACCGGAUAAUCUAUUGAACCGCAUGGUUCAAUAGUGAAGGAUGGUUUUGCUGUCACUUAUAGGUGGAUCCGCGCCGCAUUAGCUAGUUGGUAAGGUAACGGCUUACCAAGGCAACGAUGCGUAGCCGACCUGAGAGGAUGAUCGGCCACACUGGAACUGAGACACGGUCCAGACUCCUACGGGAGGCGGCAGUAGGGAAUCUUCCGCAAUGCGCGAAAGCGUGACGGAGCAACGCCGCGUGAGUGAUGAAGGUCUUCGGAUCGUAAAACUCUGUUAGUAGGGAAGAACAAAUGUGUAAGUAACGAUGCACGUCUUGACGGUACCUAAUCAGAAAGCCACGGCUAACUACGUG